RNAcentral lists this ribosomal RNA (450 nucleotides) under uncultured Glomus. RNAcentral describes it as "SSU rRNA". It matches the Rfam family "Eukaryotic small subunit ribosomal RNA", at positions 569 to 1025 of the family's 1831-position model. The record is from RNAcentral. Lineage: Eukaryota; Fungi; Glomeromycota; Glomeromycetes; Glomerales; Glomeraceae.
CGCAGCCGCGGUAAUUCCAGCUCCAAUAGCGUAUAUUAAAGUUGUUGCAGUUAAAAAGCUCGUAGUUGAAUUUCGAGAUCAAAUUGUUGGUCGUGCCUCGGUACGUACUGGCAUUAUUGAUUUCUCCCUUCUGAAGAACCUUGAUGUCAUUAAUUUGGUGUCUUGGGGAAUCAGGACCGUUACUUUGAAAAAUUAGAGUGUUUAAAGCAGGCUCACGCUUGAAUACAUUAGCAUGGAAUAAUGAAAUAGGACGUUUGAUUCUAUUUUGUUGGUUUCUAGGAUCGACGUAAUGAUUAAUAGGGAUAGUUGGGGGCAUUAGUAUUCAAUUGUCAGAGGUGAAAUUCUUGGAUUUAUUGAAGACCAACUACUGCGAAAGCAUUUGCCAAGGAUGUUUUCAUUAAUCAAGAACGAAAGUUAGGGGAUCGAAGACGAUCAGAUACCGUCGUAGUC